AAGAACCUUACCUGCUCUUGACAUCUCCCUGACCGGCAAGUAAUGUUGCCUUUCCUUCGGGACAGGGAUGACAGGUGGUGCAUGGUUGUCGUCAGCUCGUGUCGUGAGAUGUUGGGUUAAGUCCCGCAACGAGCGCAACCCCUAUCUUUAGUAGCCAGCGGUCAGGCCGGGCACUCUAGAGAGACUGCCAGGGAUAACCUGGAGGAAGGUGGGGAUGACGUCAAAUCAUCAUGCCCCUUAUGAGCAGGGCUACACACGUGCUACAAUGGCGUAAACAAAGGGAGGCAGAACCGCGAGGUCGAGCAAAUCCCAAAAAUAACGUCUCAGUUCGGAUUGUAGUCUGCAACUCGACUACAUGAAGCUGGAAUCG
This 370-nucleotide ribosomal RNA is filed under the name bacterium enrichment culture DGGE gel band G3. RNAcentral describes it as "bacterial SSU rRNA". It matches the Rfam family "Bacterial small subunit ribosomal RNA", at positions 964 to 1334 of the family's 1533-position model. The record is from RNAcentral.